GGAACCUCCAUUCUUAUCCUCUCCCUGUACGCAUGAGAGAGAGAGGGAAACGGAGAAAAGGGAAAAAGAGAAGAAGAAGAAGAAAGUUAAUGAAAUUGGUGUCGUUUGACGAGCCGAUCGAUCCCCCGCGCGCGUUGGAUUUUUCUGGCGCUUCGACUGCGAAGAACGAAACUUGGGAGAUAACCUAUUGGAACUUUGAAAACCUGAGAUCAGGUUGGUGUGUUAUUUAACAGGAAUUGAGGAUUGAAGUCCUAACGUGAAAUUGACUGCGUACAAACCUAAUUGAGGGUAAAACGAACGCGUUGGCGAAGUCGGUUCGGCAAUCCGUCGAGCCUACGCGAAGAUAUCGCUAAAAGGACAUUUUCGGCAUCAAUUGUCGGGAACGCGGGUCGCGGUUCUUGGAAAAGUGCGAGAAGCGCAUUUCUCGCAAUCCGGUACAAAAUAAAGGUGGGUUGUGCUUUACCGAAGUGAUUAGGUCACUUCCAUGCCAAAGUAGAUCAUGGUUUCAUUUGACGCAUAUAUGAAUAUGAUUGUCGACAUAUGAACAUUAAUGCUAAAUGCAUAUGAGUAGGCAUAUAUGAUUGUAGAC
Ananas comosus (pineapple) is the source of this 589-nucleotide long non-coding RNA. RefSeq lists it as uncharacterized. The record is from RefSeq and is a predicted model, not a curated record. The transcript has 3 exons. NCBI's taxonomy places the organism in Eukaryota, Viridiplantae, Streptophyta, Magnoliopsida, Poales, Bromeliaceae.